CAGCAGUAGCCGCGGGAAUACAGAGGGUGCGAGCGUUAAUCGGAUUUACUGGGCGUAAAGCGUGCGUAGGCGGCUUUUUAAGUCGGAUGUGAAAUCCCUGAGCUUAACUUAGGAAUUGCAUUCGAUACUGGGAAGCUAGAGUAUGGGAGAGGAUGGUAGAAUUCCAGGUGUAGCGGUGAAAUGCGUAGAGAUCUGGAGGAAUACCGAUGGCGAAGGCAGCCAUCUGGCCUAAUACUGACGCUGAGGUACGAAAGCAUGGGGAGCAAACAGGAUUAGAUACCCCGGUAGUCCCUGUCUCUUAUAU
RNAcentral lists this ribosomal RNA (304 nucleotides) under uncultured bacterium. RNAcentral describes it as "partial 16S ribosomal RNA". It matches the Rfam family "Bacterial small subunit ribosomal RNA", at positions 506 to 809 of the family's 1533-position model. The record is from RNAcentral.